Molecule: ribosomal RNA, 458 nt
Filed under: uncultured soil bacterium
Lineage: Bacteria
Description: bacterial SSU rRNA
Rfam family: Bacterial small subunit ribosomal RNA
Source: RNAcentral
AGAACGAACGCUGGCGGCAUGCCUAACACAUGCAAGUCGAACGAGACCCCGACUUCGGUCGGACGUCUAGUGGCGCACGGGUGCGUAACGCGUGGGAAUCUGCCCUUGGGUGCGGAAUAACAGUUAGAAAUGACUGCUAAUACCGCAUAAUGACUCCGGUCCAAAGAUUUAUCGCCCAGGGAUGAGCCCGCGUAGGAUUAGCUUGUUGGUGAGGUAAAAGCUCACCAAGGCGACGAUCCUUAGCUGGUCUGAGAGGAUGAUCAGCCACACUGGGACUGAGACACGGCCCAGACUCCUACGGAAGGCAGCAGUGGGGAAUAUUGCACAAUGGGCGAAAGCCUGAUGCAGCGACGCCGCGUGAGGAUGACGGCUUCGGGUGUAAACUCUUCAGCAGGGAAGAAGACGAAAGUGACGGUACCUAGCAGAAGAAGACACGGCUAACACGUGCCAGCAGCCGC